AUCCUCUAACAGAUCAAAAAAGUCAUCCUAAUGGAGUUGAGCAGUCAUUUUUCCCUCAGAGAGAAGUACUCCAAUUAACCUAUGAAACUACAGCCGCCGUAGGAAGAUGUGAAUGUUUACGCGAAUUAGCUCGUGAGGAAGUUGAUAUUCCGAUAACUUGGAGAUGACAACAAAUACUGUGAACGAUAGAAUGCACAAAGUCAGCCCCACUAAAUGACAAAAAGGGGUGAGGAACAUUUAUCAAUACUGCUUCAUUUCUAAGACUUUUUAAAACCUCCUCAAAAUGUUUUUAAACAUAGGAUGCUGUUGUUUUGUUCUUUUUCCGGCUGCAAGGAAAGUUCAAGUUAACAAGCUCAGAAUACCUGGCUUGUAGGCCCUGGGACUAGUGUUCCAGAAGUCCUGAUAACUUACGUAAAGCUAUUUAUUUUCUCAUGCAGUCAAUCUUUAGUGUUUAUUAAAGCUUGAAAGUAUAAUACUUA
Long non-coding RNA from Pocillopora damicornis (cauliflower coral), 479 nucleotides. NCBI's taxonomy places the organism in Eukaryota, Metazoa, Cnidaria, Anthozoa, Scleractinia, Pocilloporidae. The record is from RefSeq and is a predicted model, not a curated record.